RNAcentral lists this ribosomal RNA (319 nucleotides) under uncultured bacterium. Its description in RNAcentral is "bacterial SSU rRNA". It matches the Rfam family "Bacterial small subunit ribosomal RNA", at positions 28 to 334 of the family's 1533-position model. The record is from RNAcentral.
GACGAACGCUGGCGGCGUGCCUAAUACAUGCAAGUCGAACGAACGGAUUGAGGAGCUUGCUCUUCAUGAAGUUAGUGGCGGACGGGUGAGUAACACGUGGGUAACCUGCCCUUCAGUGGGGGAUAACAUCCGGAAACGGGUGCUAAUACCGCAUAGUUUCUUUUUCCGCCUGGACGAAGAAAGAAAGACGGCUUUGCUGUCGCUUAUAGAUGAUCCCGCGGCGUAUUAGUUAGUUGGUGGGGUAAAGGCCUACCAAGACAAUGAUACGUAGCCGACCUGAGAGGGUGAUCGGCCACACUGGGACUGAGACACGGCCCAG